GUAAAAAAACUUCAUCUAUUUUUACUAUUAGAAAUUGAGGUGAAUGACAAAAUAACCAGAUAAUAACAAGUGGUAUGCCAUGCGUACCUCAUGUUGGUGUAUGGUGACUAGUUUUUAAUAGCAGAAAUGGAUGAAUUUUUUAA
Molecule: non-coding RNA, 143 nt
Organism: Gossypium hirsutum (cotton)
Lineage: Eukaryota; Viridiplantae; Streptophyta; Magnoliopsida; Malvales; Malvaceae
Source: Rfam